AAUCAAGGAGAACAACAAUUUUCUAAGUAAAAUGUACACAUUUAAUUCAUGUAAUUAAUGAACUGCGUGAGAAGAGUAACUCUUAUUAAUAUUUACUUGUAAUAGUUACAUUAUUUAUAGUCAUUGCACAUAAAUCUUACAAUAUUGACUAAAUCUGAA
This is a long non-coding RNA of Sinocyclocheilus grahami, 159 nucleotides long. RefSeq lists it as uncharacterized. Lineage: Eukaryota; Metazoa; Chordata; Actinopteri; Cypriniformes; Cyprinidae. The record is from RefSeq and is a predicted model, not a curated record. The transcript is spliced from 3 exons.